Gopherus flavomarginatus (Mexican gopher tortoise) is the source of this 3043-nucleotide long non-coding RNA. RefSeq lists it as uncharacterized. The transcript has 4 exons. The record is from RefSeq and is a predicted model, not a curated record. NCBI's taxonomy places the organism in Eukaryota, Metazoa, Chordata, Testudines, Testudinidae.
GAAGUUUCUAAUAAAACUCUUCUGCAUCUCCUAACAAACACUGCCAUCCAAAUAUUUGAGCAACCUGGCAGUUCUGGAUAAUAAGUGUGAAAUGGCCAGUGUGUUCCAUAUCAAACACUAACUGACCCAACCACGCGUAUACCCAACAUUGAUUUGCCAUGCCAUUCGUGGCCCUUUCUGAACCUAUACAGUAUGGGCUAGGGUCAGUGUGCAGACAGCCUCCAAACCUGGGGCCAAUGAGAGGAUCCCACAUUCGGAUGUGCCAAAGACAGACACUAUCACUCAUGACUGCCCUUUGACCAGAUGUGAUGGUUGUCUGAGGCCUCUGCACUUUGCUGAUGAGGCUGCUGCAAAUUAGCUUGGCAACCUCUGCAUUUGAUAAGGUAUCAAACACUUAUGUCGCUAUUCUCUGUAUCCUUUUUAUAAGUUUUCCAGAGGUCAAAUAUGUUCUGUGAAUUAAAAUUACUGUCAGUCUGUCCCUGGUAUUUAUCAGCAUGGUUCUCACCUGAUCACAUAUUUUAGCCUGAUGUGUGAAGAGAUACUAUAUUCAAAAAUCCACUUGGCUUUACAUGUAAAACAAUUACACUGUGUAGCAAGCAUUGCAAAUCACAAAUUUCAGAGAAGCGUGCAAGACACAACUUGCACAGUAUGCUAUGAACUAACCAAACAAGCCAUGUAUUAACCUGGGGAAAUUUCAGUAUUCUGUAAACAACUUGUUGCCAAAGGUUUUUAACUAAAAGCAUUUUGGAUUAAGAGGAAGUUAAGAAGUGCACUUUGGGACUGCAGCAGUGGGAAGGUUCAAAAUUGAAGACUUCCUGGCUAAUACCUUAUUCAUGGCCCCCAGGCAGAGUGCUGCUGAAAGAGUGAGCAUCUCUACAACCUUGCGCAGAUACAAAAUUUGUAUCCGCAUCUGAUCCGUGGACCAUGUUCAUGAUUAUCCACAGAUUUGCAGGGCUCUAAGCAUCUCCUGUCCCUCUCUAGUACCUCCAGCACCCAACUUGGGAGUAGCAUAGAUGGCCAGUAGGGGAAGUUGCCUAGAGGUGCAACUGGAAGGUUGGAGGGGAGUCAAACUCAGAUGUAGGGAAGAAUGAGGCUGCAAUCCUCAAAACGACGAGAAUUUCUGCAAGCCCCCUGUGGUAGAGAAGGUGAAGUUAUUUAGCAUGUCUGUACAAAAGUAACUCUCCUGAAUCAAGCUCCUGUUGUAGUCAUAUGUCAGUAAUAGUGAUCGCUGCUUGGACUAUUAACAGGUGUCUGGAAGUCAGUCCAAGAUCAAAGGUUCACUCUGAAGAGUUUCUAUACUCUGAUCAGAUCGCUAUCUCAUGGUCAGACCUAUUGUAGAUGGCAUUCUUAAGAUCCCUUUUUUGUCUUAUUUUUCUAAUCCAAGAAGGCAGACUCUCUGCUAGUGUAACUCUAAGGUAAAUUUUAUGUCUUAUCCUGUUGAGUGAUGCAUUCCUUCUCCUGCUUCCUGUUCUAAAUGUUUCUUCGUGCAUCUGGGGUGCAGUCUCAGGUAGGUGACAUUCCAAGGUGCUGGAUCUAAGGACACUUUGUCAGAUGGUUUAAAACGAUCCCUUCCCUGUUGCCUUCAAAAGAACUUUACUAUUUUCAGUGCAGCCUAAUGCAAUUGUGUCCCACCUGAUAACCAGUGCAAGGGAUACUGGGGGCUGCCUCAGCACUUCUAAAGGGGAGCUGAGGCAGUAGCAGUAAAAGAAUUUGGAGCUCAGCUCAGAACUGAGGGCACUGGGCAGGAGACAGUCAGACCCUGCAGGAUGUGGUUCUGGGACAAAUAGGGGACCACAUCAAUUGCUGAGGUGAUGGGAUGUGUCAUACGGGGGGCAUUUAAUCUGCUUGGACCAGCUUUGUUUUACCUAUACCAUAUUGGUGUAUGAGGAUUUCUUGGGAUUGUGUGACACCGAUAAGUGUUGAAGAGUUAAAUCCUGCUUCCUUGCGAAUGAACUUUGCCACAAAAUGGAUGAAGUCAGUUAAUUUGGAGGCCUGAACCUGAUGUACAACAUCUUACUAGAUUUGGAGUCUGUAUUCCUUUCCAAAACUAUCAUUUUCAGACUUAUACUGAAAAACUCUGUUUGUAUUUGCUCCUAGGGGCUGUGUCCUUAAAGGGAAAGUGGUGUUUACUACAAAUGAUGAUUCUCCCUAUGACAUAGCAGUGGUAGAACUAGAAGAAAGCUUACUGUGUUUUGCAGAACCUGUUCUAGCUACCAAGUUUGGUGCAGGAGAAGAAGUGAGUGUUGUUGGCUUUGGUGUGUUCGGCCAGUGCUGCGGCCCAUCAGUGACAUCAGGAAUCUUGUCAGCUGUGAUCACGGUGGAUGAGAAGCCAGUGAUGCUUCAGACAACCUGUGCGAUUCAUGGUGGCUCAAGUGGGGGGGCCCUUUUCUCUACAAACAGCGGAAAGCUCCUUGGGAUUGUUGCUAGCAACACAAAGGACAACAGCAUAGGAGCUACAUACCCUCACCUGAACUACAGUGUUCCUAUCACAGUUCUACAGCCAGCAGUCUUGCAGUACAGCCGUACUGGAGACCUGCAUGGUUUCCAGGAGCUGAACAGGGCCAAUGACAGAAUCAGACUAGUGUGGCGGCUCCAAAGAAAGACCACAGAGGUACCACACAGCAAGCUAUGAGGCUGGCCAUCUCAAAGAAAGGGUGAAGGUGGCAGAAUACUCCCACGAACAGGGAAAGAUGCGAACUGGAGCGAUGUUGCCACUAGUGCUUCAACAUCUUCUGCAAGAUGGAGGCUUUCUAGUACUGAUAAUGGAAAUUGUGGCUGCAAUUACACCAUGGUUUCAAGAAGCUGAAUGGGCAGCCUUAUAGCCAGUUUUACUGGUCUGAGCAGCUCCCAGCUUUGCAAAGUGUAGAACACUGGAAGGAGUUUUCUGAAGCCCACAACACAUCUCGCUUACACGCACACAAAAUUCUAAUCAAUACUUUGGACAAGACAAAGCUGCAGUCUAUGUGAUCACCUAUUGUCAUUGAACCCUCCUCUUCUCCUCCCCCCUCAAUCCCUAAUAAAUGGACCUGACACCACCAAUGUA